This 499-nucleotide ribosomal RNA is filed under the name uncultured bacterium. RNAcentral's name for it is "partial 16S ribosomal RNA". It matches the Rfam family "Bacterial small subunit ribosomal RNA", at positions 28 to 507 of the family's 1533-position model. The record is from RNAcentral.
GACGAACGCUGGCGGCGUGCCUAAUACAUGCAAGUCGAGCGAAGUUUUUCUGGUGCUUGCACUAGAAAAACUUAGCGGCGAACGGGUGAGUAACACGUAAAGAACCUGCCUCAUAGACUGGGACAACUAUUGGAAACGAUAGCUAAUACCGGAUAACAGUAUUUCUCGCAUGAGAGAUAUUUAAAAGUUGGUUAUGCUAACACUAUGGGAUGGCUUUGCGGUGCAUUAGCUAGUUGGUGGGGUAAAGGCCCACCAAGGCGACGAUGCAUAGCCGACCUGAGAGGGUGAUCGGCCACACUGGGACUGAGACACGGCCCAGACUCCUACGGGCGGCAGCAGUAGGGAAUCUUCCGCAAUGGGCGAAAGCCUGACGGAGCAACGCCGCGUGAGUGAAGAAGGAUUUCGGUUCGUAAAGCUCUGUUGUUAGGGAAGAAUGGAUAUGUAGUAACUAUACAUGUAAGAGACGGUACCUAACCAGAAAGCCACGGCUAACUACGUG